UCCUACGGGAGGCAGCAGUGGGGAAUAUUGCACAAUGGGCGCAAGCCUGAUGCAGCGACGCCGCGUGAGGGAUGAAGGCCUUCGGGUUGUAAACCUCUUUCAGCAGGGAAGAAGCAGCCGGGUUUUCUUGGUUGUGACGGUACCUGCAGAAGAAGCACCGGCUAACUACGUGCCAGCAGCCGCGGUAAUACGUAGGGUGCAAGCGUUGUCCGGAAUUAUUGGGCGUAAAGAGCUUGUAGGUGGUUUGUCGCGUCUGUUGUGAAAUUUCGGGGCUCAACCCCGAACUUGCAGUGGAUACGGGCAGACUAGAGUGUGGUAGGGGAGACUGGAAUUCCUGGUGUAGCGGUGAAAUGCGCAGAUAUCAGGAGGAACACCGAUGGCGAAGGCAGGUCUCUGGGCCAUUACUGACACUGAGAAGCGAAAGCAUGGGGAGCGAACAGGAUUAGAUACCCUGGUAGUCCAUGCCGUAAACGGUGGGAACUAGGUGUGGGUCUCAUUCCACGAGAUCCGUGCCGCAGCUAACGCAUUAAGUUCCCCGCCUGGGGAGUACGGCCGCAAGGCUAAAACUCAAAGGAAUUGACGGGGGCCCGCACAAGCGGCGGAGCAUGUGGAUUAAUUCGAUGCAACGCGAAGAACCUUACCAAGGCUUGACAUGUGCCGGAAAAGUGCAGAGAUGUGCUCCCCGCAAGGUCGGUACACAGGUGGUGCAUGGUUGUCGUCAGCUCGUGUCGUGAGAUGUUGGGUUAAGUCCCGCAACGAGCGCAACCCUCGUUCUAUGUUGCCAGCGGGUUAUGCCGGGGACUCAUAGGAGACUGCCGGGGUCAACUCGGAGGAAGGUGGGGAUGACGUCAAAUCAUCAUGCCCCUUAUGUCUUGGGCUUCACGCAUGCUACAAUGGCCAGUACAAAGGGCUGCGAUACCGCAAGGUGGAGCGAAUCCCAAAAAACUGGUCUCAGUUCGGAUUGGGGUCUGCAACUCGACCCCAUGAAGUCGGAGUCGCUAGUAAUCGCAGAUCAGCAACGCUGCGGUGAAUACGUUCCCGGGCCUUGUACACACCGCCAU
RNAcentral lists this ribosomal RNA (1061 nucleotides) under uncultured Ornithinicoccus sp. RNAcentral's name for it is "bacterial SSU rRNA". It matches the Rfam family "Bacterial small subunit ribosomal RNA", at positions 337 to 1396 of the family's 1533-position model. Lineage: Bacteria; Bacillati; Actinomycetota; Actinomycetes; Micrococcales; Intrasporangiaceae. The record is from RNAcentral.